ACACCGGCUUUUUUAGAAGCCACUCUGAUCCUAAUUUCUAUACCA
Picea glauca (white spruce) is the source of this 45-nucleotide non-coding RNA. NCBI's taxonomy places the organism in Eukaryota, Viridiplantae, Streptophyta, Pinopsida, Pinales, Pinaceae. The record is from Rfam.